RNAcentral lists this ribosomal RNA (253 nucleotides) under uncultured bacterium. RNAcentral describes it as "partial 16S ribosomal RNA". It matches the Rfam family "Bacterial small subunit ribosomal RNA", at positions 524 to 776 of the family's 1533-position model. The record is from RNAcentral.
UACGAAGGGGGCUAGCGUUGUUCGGAAUUACUGGGCGUAAAGCGCAUGUAGGCGGAUAUUUAAGUCAGGGGUGAAAUCCCGCAGCUCAACUGCGGAACUGCCUUUGAUACUGGGUAUCUUGAGUAUGGAAGAGGUGAGUGGAAUUCCGAGUGUAGAGGUGAAAUUCGUAGAUAUUCGGAGGAACACCAGUGGCGAAGGCGGCUCACUGGUCCAUUACUGACGCUCAUGCACGAAAGCGUGGGGAGCAAACAGG